CGUGCAGGUGGUCUGUUAAGUUGGAUGUUAAAUCUCACGGCUUAACCGGGAGAUGUCGUUCAAAACUGGCAGACUAGAGGACGGUAGAGGAAGGUGGAAUUCCGGGUGUAGUGGUGAAAUGCGUAGAUAUCCGGAGGAACAUCAGUGGCGAAGGCGACCUUCUGGACCGCUCCUGACACUCCAACGCGAAAGCUAGGGGAGCAAACG
This 207-nucleotide ribosomal RNA is filed under the name uncultured bacterium. Its description in RNAcentral is "partial 16S ribosomal RNA". It matches the Rfam family "Bacterial small subunit ribosomal RNA", at positions 568 to 774 of the family's 1533-position model. The record is from RNAcentral.